CAUCUCGAGCAUAGGCGAAAGCCGGGCUUAGUGAUCCGGUGGUUCUGUAUGGAAGUGCCAUCGCACAUCGAAUAAAAGGUACUCUGGGGAUAACAGGCUUAUCACGUCCAAGAGUUCAUAUCGACGACGUGGUUUGGCACCUCGAUGUCGGCUCACCGCAUCCUGGGGCUGAAGCAGGUCCCAAGGGUUGGUCUGUUCGCCCAUUAAAGCGGUACGUGAACAAAAUCGCGCCCUGUGAAAGUAAUUUCACAGGUG
This 255-nucleotide ribosomal RNA is filed under the name Bacteroidales bacterium. RNAcentral's name for it is "partial 23S ribosomal RNA". It matches the Rfam family "Bacterial large subunit ribosomal RNA", at positions 2385 to 2635 of the family's 2925-position model. Lineage: Bacteria; Pseudomonadati; Bacteroidota; Bacteroidia; Bacteroidales. The record is from RNAcentral.